AACGAACGCUGGCGGCAGGUUUAACACAUGCAAGUCGAGCGCCCCGCAAGGGGAGCGGCAGACGGGUGAGUAACGCGUGGGAAUCUACCGUGCCCUACGGAAUAACGCAUGGAAACGUGUGCUAAUACCGUAUACGCCCUACGGGGGAAAGAUUUAUCGGGGUAUGAUGAGCCCGCGUUGGAUUAGCUAGUUGGUGGGGUAAAGGCCUACCAAGGCGACGAUCCAUAGCUGGUCUGAGAGGAUGAUCAGCCACAUUGGGACUGAGACACGGCCCAAACUCCUACGGGAGGCAGCAGUGGGGAAUAUUGGACAAUGGGCGCAAGCCUGAUCCAGCCAUGCCGCGUGAGUGAUGAAGGUCUUAGGAUUGUAAAGCUCUUUCACCGGUGAAGAUAAUGACGGUAACCGGAGAAGAAGCCCCGGCUAACUUCGUGCCAGCCGCCGCCGUAA
This 447-nucleotide ribosomal RNA is filed under the name uncultured bacterium. RNAcentral's name for it is "partial 16S ribosomal RNA". It matches the Rfam family "Bacterial small subunit ribosomal RNA", at positions 29 to 523 of the family's 1533-position model. The record is from RNAcentral.